GACGAACGCUGGCGGCGUGCUUAACACAUGCAAGUCGAACGGAAAGGCCCCUUUGGGGGUACUCGAGUGGCGAACGGGUGAGUAACACGUGAGUAACCUGCCCUUGACUUCGGGAUAACUUCAGUAAACUGGGGCUAAUACCGGAUAGGAAUCCUUGCUGCAUGGUGGGGGUUGGAAAGCUUUGGCGGUUUUGGGUGGACUCGCGGCUUAUCAGCUUGUUGGUGGGGUAGUGGCUUACCAAGGCUUUGACGGGUAGCCGGCCUGAGAGAGCGAGCGGCCACAUUGGGACUGAGAUACGGCACAGACGCCUACGGGAGGCAGCAGUGGGGAAUAUUGCACAAUGGGCGGAAGCCUGAUGCAGAAACGCCGCGGGCGGGAUGACGGCCUUCGGGUUGUAAAACGGUUUCAGCAGGGGCGAAGCUUGUGGUGACGGUACCUGCAGAAGAAGCACCGGCUAACUACGUG
This 465-nucleotide ribosomal RNA is filed under the name uncultured bacterium. Its description in RNAcentral is "partial 16S ribosomal RNA". It matches the Rfam family "Bacterial small subunit ribosomal RNA", at positions 28 to 507 of the family's 1533-position model. The record is from RNAcentral.